RNAcentral lists this ribosomal RNA (2924 nucleotides) under Mycoplasmataceae bacterium. RNAcentral's name for it is "23S ribosomal RNA". It matches the Rfam family "Bacterial large subunit ribosomal RNA". The record is from RNAcentral. Lineage: Bacteria; Bacillati; Mycoplasmatota; Mollicutes; Mycoplasmatales; Mycoplasmataceae.
CUAUAAGUUACUAAGGGCUUAAGGUGGAUGCCUUGGGACUGGAUGGCGAUGAAGGACGUGCAAAUCUGCGAUAAGCGAUGGGGAAGCGAUAAGAGCUGAUGAUCCAUCGAUUUCCGAAUGAGGAAACUCAAAUAAUAGAAGUAUUAUUUAUUAUUAAAUGAAUUCAUAGUUUAAUAAAGCGAUACCCACAGAAGUGAAUCAUCUCAGUACGUGGAGGAAAAGAAAACAAAGUGAUUCCGUUAGUAGUGCGAGCGAACGCGGAAGAGGGCAAACCGAUCUUCGGAUCGGGGUUGUAGGACUACAAUGUGGACUUAAGAUAUAUAGUGGAAGCUGUUGGGAAGCAGCGCGAUAAAAUGUGAUAGCCAUGUACACGAAAUAUAUCUUAUACCUAGUAGAAUCCUGAGUAGUGCGAGACACUCGAAAUCUUGCAUGAAUCCGGGCCGACCAUGGUCCAACCCUAAAUACAAACCAGUCACCGAUAGAGAAUAGUACAGUGAUGGAACGGUGAAAAGAACCCAGAGAUGGGAGUGAAAUAGAAACUGAAACCAUAAGCCUACAACGAGUCAGAGCCCAUUAAUGGGUGAUGGCGUGCGUUUUGAAGUAUGAGCCGGAGAGUUAUUGUUGCAUGCAAGCUUAAGCAGUAGAUGUGGAGGCGCAGGGAAACCGAGUGUUAAUAGCGCGAAAUUUAUAGUAUGUAAGAAUAGACCCGAAACCGUGUGAUCUAGCCAUGGGCAGGUUGAAGGUAAGGUAAAACUUACUGGAGGACCGAACCCACUUUCGUUGAAAUGACAGGGGAUGACCUGUGGCUAGGGCAGAAAUUGCAAUCGAACACGGUGAUAGCUGGUUCUCAUCGAUAUAGCUUUUAGGCUAGCGUCAGAUUAUUUGGAUUGGUGGCGGUAAAGCGCUGACUGACUGAUGGCUCCACCUCGGGGUACUGAAUUCAAUCAAACUGGGAAUUCCACCAAUCCUAUUCUGGCAGUCAGACUGCGGGGGCUAAGCUCCGUAGUCGUGAGGGGAAGAACCCAGAUCAUUAUCUAAGGUCCCAAAUUUAUGCUAAGUGGAAAAGGAUGUUGGAAUUCUUAAACACCAAGGAUGUUGGCUUAGAAGCAGCCAUCGUUUAAAGAGUGCGUAACAGCUCACUUGUCGAGAAAUCCUGCGCCGAAAAUUCAACGGGGCUAAGCAUAAAACCGAAGAUAUGGGUUGUUAAAUUUUACGAAAUUUAGCAGCGGUAGAUGAGCGUUGUAUACUGCGAUGAAGGUAAAGCGUGAGCAUUGCUGGAGUGUAUACAAGUGAGAAUUCCGGUGUGAGUAACGAUUGAAUGUGAGAAUCAUUCAUGCCUAUUGACUAAGGUUUCCAGGACUAGGGUCGUCCUUCCUGGGUUAGUCGGAUCCUAACGCGAGGCCGAAAGGCGUAGUGGAUGGAAAAAAUGUUAAUAUUCAUUUACUUGGUAUAAAGGUGAAGGAGUGACGGAGAAGGUUAUUGCAGGCCGGUUAAUGGAUUCCGGUGAAAGUGCAAAGUCUUGAGAGUAGGCAAAUCCGCUCUCUAUAAGGAUAAUGUACGAGACAAAUGAAAACUUCGGUUAGUAAGCAAGCUGCAUAUAUCACGCUUCCUAGAAAAACUUCUAAACUUAACUUUAUAUCAAUCCGUACCGAGAACGAACACACGUGGUCAAGCUUAAGUAAGCUAAGGCAAGCGAGUUAAUUAUUGUCAAGGAACUCUGCAAAAUGAUCCCGUAAGUUAGCGAUAAGGGAUGCUCAUCGUAAGGUGAGCCUCAGAAAAAAGUGAGUGGCGACUGUUUAUCAAAAACACAGCUUUAUGCUAAAUCGUAAGAUGAUGUAUAUGAGGUGACUUCUGCCCAGUGCUGGAAGGUUAAAGAAGCGUGUUAGGUGUUAAAACCGAAGCUCGCGACUGAAGCCCUAGUGAACGGCGGCCGUAACUAUAACGGUCCUAAGGUAGCUCGAUUCCUUCUCGGGUAAAUUCCGUGUAUGCGAAAGGAGUAACGACCUCUUAACUGUCUCGACAAUAAACUCGGUGAAAUCCUGGUAGGGGUGAAGACGCCCCUUUGGCGUAGUGGGACGGAAAGACCCCAUGAAGCUUUACUGUAACUUCAUAUUGAGUAAAUAAAUGACUUUUAAAGCAUAAGCGGGAGACUUUGAAGCGAGGACGCUAGUUCUUGUGGAGUCAUCACUGUAAUACCGCUAUUGUUAUUUAUUUAUUCUAACCUGCAGGUGUCAUCCACCUGGGGGACAGUGUGUGGCGGGCAGUUUGACUGGGGCGGUCGCCUCCUAAAAUGUAACGGAGGUGCGCAAAGGUACAUUCAGUAUGGUUGGAAAUCAUACGGCGAGCGUAAUGGUAUAAAGUGUGCUUGACUGCGAGACUUACAAGUCGAGCAGGUAAGAAAUUAGGUCAUAGUGAUCCGGUGGUUCCGAAUGGAAGGGCCAUCGCUCAUCGGAUAAAAGUUACUCUGGGGAUAACAGGCUGAUAGUGUCCAAGAGUUCAUAUCGACGACACUGUUUGGCACCUCGAUGUCGACUCAUCUCAUCCUGGAGCUGUAGCAGGUUCCAAGGGUUCGGCUGUUCGCCGAUUAAAGAGAUACGUGAGUUGGGUUCAAACCGUUGUGAAACAGGUUGGUCCCUAUCUGCUAUGCCCGCAGGAAGAUUGAAGAAAGUUGCCCCUAGUACGAGAGGAUCGGGGUGAAGUUACCUCUUAUGCUCCAAUUGUCGCGCCAGCGGCACCGUUGGGUAGUAACGUAGCGAAAGGAUAAGCGCUGAAAGCAUAUAAGCGCGAAGCCUCUUCUAAGAUAAAUCUUCCCUACCCGCAAGGGUAAUAAGAACCGUCAUAGACUAUGACGUUGAUAGGAUACAUGUGUAAGUGGAGUGAUCCAUUGAGCUGAGUAUUACUAAUCAUUCGAAAGACUUUUAGAA